This 313-nucleotide ribosomal RNA is filed under the name uncultured soil bacterium. RNAcentral describes it as "bacterial SSU rRNA". It matches the Rfam family "Bacterial small subunit ribosomal RNA", at positions 26 to 326 of the family's 1533-position model. The record is from RNAcentral.
AGGACGAACGCUGGCGGCGUGCUUAACACAUGCAAGUCGAACGGUGAAGGGGACUUCGGUCCCUGGAUCAGUGGCGAACGGGUGAGUAACACGUGGGCAACCUGCCCCUAGCUCCGGAAUAACCCCGGGAAACCGAGGCUAAUACCGGAUAAUGACUCUGCGCGGCAUCUCGCGGAGUGGAAAGUUUUUCGGCUUAGGGAUGGGCCCGCGGCCUAGUCCAGCUUGUUGGUGGGGUAAUGGCCUACCAAGGCGACAACGGGUACGCCGGACCGUGAGAGGGUCGACCGGGCCAACGACGUCGGGACUGGAGACC